CCCGCGGUAAUACGUAUGGUGCAAGCGUUAUCCGGAAUCACUGGGCGUAAAGGGUACGUAGGCGGUGAUGCAAGUCAGAAGUGAAAGGCUACGGCUCAACCGUAGUAAGCUUUUUGUAAACUGCAUGACUAGAGUUCAGGAGAGGUAAGUGGAAUUCCUAGUGUAGAGGUGAAAUUCGUAGAUAUUUAGGAGGAACACCAGUGGCGAAGGCGACUUACUGGACUGAUACUGACGCUGAGGUACGAAAGCGUGGGGGAGCGAACAGGAUUAGAUACCCCUGGUAG
This 284-nucleotide ribosomal RNA is filed under the name uncultured bacterium. RNAcentral describes it as "partial 16S ribosomal RNA". It matches the Rfam family "Bacterial small subunit ribosomal RNA", at positions 514 to 793 of the family's 1533-position model. The record is from RNAcentral.